CAGUGGCAAGAAUUAUGGUACACAUCCCAAAUCUAAGCCAAUCUUUCUAAUAUCAUCUAUUCCUAGUUUACAAAUCAUAAAAAAAAUUGUAAUCAUCUCAAUCAUAAGAUCGAUUUUCAAAACUAGAUUCGCACCCCUGAUCUAAUACUCCGUACUCAUCUUGAUCCACAAGAUUGUUAAGUUGGAUUAGCGAGAAAUAAAAGAUGUUAGUCGGUCUUAUACUAAUCAUUUGAAUAUGAGGG
RNAcentral lists this long non-coding RNA (242 nucleotides) under Elaeis guineensis (African oil palm). RNAcentral's name for it is "long non-coding RNA (EGUI_LNC068140)". The record is from RNAcentral. Lineage: Eukaryota; Viridiplantae; Streptophyta; Magnoliopsida; Arecales; Arecaceae.